RNAcentral lists this ribosomal RNA (492 nucleotides) under uncultured bacterium. RNAcentral describes it as "partial 16S ribosomal RNA". It matches the Rfam family "Bacterial small subunit ribosomal RNA", at positions 29 to 507 of the family's 1533-position model. The record is from RNAcentral.
AGUGAACGCUGGCGGUAGGCCUAACACAUGCAAGUCGAACGGCAGCACAGUAAGAGCUUGCUCUUACGGGUGGCGAGUGGCGGACGGGUGAGGAAUACAUCGGAAUCUACCUUUUCGUGGGGGAUAACGGAGGGAAACUUACGCUAAUACCGCAUACGACCUACGGGUGAAAUCAGGGGAUCUUCGGACCUUGCGCGAUUGAAUUAGCCGAUGUCGGAUUAGCUAGUUGGCGGGGUAAAGGCCCACCAAGGCGACGAUCCGUAGCUGGUCUGAGAGGAUGAUCAGCCACACUGGAACUGAGACACGGUCCAGACUCCUACGGGAGGCAGCAGUGGGGAAUAUUGGACAAUGGGCGCAAGCCUGAUCCAGCCAUACCGCGUGGGUGAAGAAGGCCUUCGGGUUGUAAAGCCCUUUUGUUGGGAAAGAAAAGCAGCAGGUUAAUACCCCGCUGUUCUGACGGUACCCAAAGAAUAAGCACCGGCUAACUUCGUG